This 301-nucleotide ribosomal RNA is filed under the name uncultured bacterium. RNAcentral's name for it is "partial 16S ribosomal RNA". It matches the Rfam family "Bacterial small subunit ribosomal RNA", at positions 509 to 808 of the family's 1533-position model. The record is from RNAcentral.
CAGCCGCGCGGUAAUACGUAGGUGGCAAGCGUUGUUCGGAAUUACUGGGCGUAAAGGGCUCGCAGGCGGUUUCUUAAGUCUGAUGUGAAAGCCCCCGGCUCAACCGGGGAGGGUCAUUGGAAACUGGGAAACUUGAGUGCAGAAGAGGAGAGUGGAAUUCCACGUGUAGCGGUGAAAUGCGUAGAGAUGUGGAGGAACACCAGUGGCGAAGGCGACUCUCUGGUCUGUAACUGACGCUGAGGAGCGAAAGCGUGGGGAGCGAACAGGAUUAGAUACCCCAGUAGUCCCUGUCUCUUAUACA